Molecule: microRNA precursor, 99 nt
Filed under: Populus trichocarpa (black cottonwood)
Lineage: Eukaryota; Viridiplantae; Streptophyta; Magnoliopsida; Malpighiales; Salicaceae
Description: miR7826 stem-loop (ptc-MIR7826)
Source: miRBase by way of RNAcentral
GGCAUAUGCUUUACCAAGUUUCAAAUUCUCAAUAUAUACAUAAGCGUGUAUAUAUUGAGAAUUUGAAACUUGGUAAAGCUCUUUAAUUAAGAAUGUGUA